RNAcentral lists this unclassified non-coding RNA (150 nucleotides) under uncultured Phaeosphaeriaceae. Its description in RNAcentral is "sequence contains ITS2". Lineage: Eukaryota; Fungi; Ascomycota; Dothideomycetes; Pleosporales; Phaeosphaeriaceae. The record is from RNAcentral.
GUACCCUCAAGCUCUGCUUGGUGUUGGGUGUUUGUCCUCUCCCUAGUGUUUGGACUCGCCUUAAAAUAAUUGGCAGCCAGUGUUUUGGUAUUGAAGCGCAGCACAAGUCGCGAUUCGUAACAAACACUUGCGUCCACAAGCCUUUUUAAC